AGUGAACGCUGGCGGUAGGCCUAACACAUGCAAGUCGAACGGCAGCACAGUAAGAGCUUGCUCUUACGGGUGGCGAGUGGCGGACGGGUGAGGAAUACAUCGGAAUCUACUUUUUCGUGGGGGAUAACGUAGGGAAACUUACGCUAAUACCGCAUACGACCUACGGGUGAAAGCAGGGGAUCUUCGGACCUUGCGCGAUUGAAUGAGCCGAUGUCGGAUUAGCUAGUUGGCGGGGUAAAGGCCCACCAAGGCGACGAUCCGUAGCUGGUCUGAGAGGAUGAUCAGCCACACUGGAACUGGGACACGGUCCAGACUCCUACGGGAGGCAGCAGUGGGGAAUAUUGGACAAUAGGCGCAAGCCUGAUCCAGCCAUAGCGCGUGGGUGAAGGAGGCCCUCGGGUUGUGAAGCCCUUUUGUUGGGAGAGAAAAGCAGCAGGUUAAUACCCCGCUGUUCUGACGGUACCCAAAGAAUAAGCACCGGCUAACUUCGUG
This 492-nucleotide ribosomal RNA is filed under the name uncultured bacterium. RNAcentral's name for it is "partial 16S ribosomal RNA". It matches the Rfam family "Bacterial small subunit ribosomal RNA", at positions 29 to 507 of the family's 1533-position model. The record is from RNAcentral.